This is a long non-coding RNA of Erpetoichthys calabaricus (reedfish), 1785 nucleotides long. RefSeq lists it as uncharacterized. The transcript has 2 exons. The record is from RefSeq and is a predicted model, not a curated record. Lineage: Eukaryota; Metazoa; Chordata; Cladistia; Polypteriformes; Polypteridae.
AUGGUAUGUUUGUUAUCCAAAACCUGCAAAAGCUAAUGCUCAAAUUCAAGUAUUUCACAGUUUAAAGAAUUAUUUAAUGAAAUUAGAAAAAAACUAGCUAAUUAGCAAUAGUAUUGCUGGCUUAUAAUUAUUUCAAAGACCAUGGGAAAUGGCAGAUGACCGGUGACUUAACACCGUGAAGCAUUGAGUGUACAAUGUCAUUACCCAAAUUCUAUGGACAAUUGUGUUGCCCCGUGGAUAAGUCGACCCUGUUUUUUUGAAUGAAUUUUAAGACAUAAAUUUUUCGACUUAUACGCGAGUAUAAACGGUAAUAACCCCUUGCGAAAAUUAAAAAAUGAUGCUUUAAUGACCACAGAGAGUCACCACCUUGAUUUUACGUCUCAUUGGAAGGAUAUCACCAUUUUUACAGCACAGGGUCCCCGUCACUGCACUGGGGCAUUGAUAUCCACAUUCAGACUACUGGGUAUGUGCCCCCUGUUGGCCUCACCAACACUUCUUCCAGUAGCAACCCAAGCUUUUCCUGAUUGGACUCGAUGAAUCUCAUCAUAAAGAACGUCAAUUCAAACACCCACCUUGAGCCAAACAAAGUGACCAGUUUCAAAAAUAACCGACCUAUCCUUCUCUAGGGGAGAAAAACAGAAAACAUUGUAGCGAUGCGGUUUUAACCAAGUGCCUGAAGACAAGUUAAAUUGUAGUCAGCAUCCAUUCAAACUGGAGAGAGAGAGGUGUUAGGAGCAGGCGCUGAUACAGCACAUUGCUGCACCCACCACAUGACAAACCAACUCAGGAACCCAGUGCAGCCAUGUGGCGGGUGACACCUCAGCACCACACUAGUGCAGAUGGAAAUGGAACCAGUGUGAGGUUUUUUUUAUGGUGGCUGGAGUGCCAACCCCCAGGUUUUGAUGCAGAUUAAUGUCAUACCCAGGACGGAGCAAUUGCAGGUUAGGGGCCCAACGAAGUGGAGUGGCGUUUCCGGGAUUUGAACCGGCAAAUCCCUAGCCUCAGAGCCACCAAUUCUCCGCCAUUCAAACUGGGGUAUUAAACAAAACUGAAGAUGGAAUUGUGCGUGAAGGAGAGUAUUGGAUAGCAGCAGCAUUGCGCCAAAGAGUCAUUGAAAGGUGAAAUAUGAAAUUUUUGGGAGCAGGCAGUCAGGGAAAAGCUUUGUUACAUUUCUACUUGCAAUAAAAAUAUGGCAAACUGAAAUUCAUGAGACUUUCAUAGUCGGCCAGCCGUGGCAGGGUUGCUCUCGACGGAUGAGUUGGGGUGCCCCCUGCUGGAUGAUUUACUCUAAUAAACUCCUCCAGUACAAAGAAUCAGAGUUUAGAUUGUUAACUUCUUUGGAGCUCCUCAAACAGAAAUAAACCCCUUUAAAGAAUCGGAACUUACAAGAAAAAAAUUCACACGUCGUGCUAGCUGUUCGGCUUGCCAGUUUAGAAAAGGGGGUCAGACUGGGAAAGUGGGGAUUAUUAAGGGGCUGGAAAGUCUCCACCUGUCCACGACUGAAAGUGGAGCAAGUCGGAUGCGGAUUAAUAGAACGCAAAUCAAAACGAUCAUUUCCGUGGCUACGUGUAAAGCCCAUCGCAUGGCUCCGUCAAAUCACUUUUAUUCAUUUCGGAAAGAAAGACCGCCUGUGCACUUUCAUUUCGUUAUAUAACUUUGAAUUGCUCUUAAUAUUAAAUCAGGGUGUCCUGCAUUGUCUCCUGCAUUCCGGACUAACCCCUUUAACAGGUCGUUGCCCUCAUUAGGUCCCAAACUAGAUGUGAUCCCAUUUGAGGGGAAUCACGU